This is a long non-coding RNA of Solea solea (common sole), 578 nucleotides long. RefSeq lists it as uncharacterized. The transcript is spliced from 3 exons. Lineage: Eukaryota; Metazoa; Chordata; Actinopteri; Pleuronectiformes; Soleidae. The record is from RefSeq and is a predicted model, not a curated record.
UUUGGUAAAUAGUUGAUUUGUAUGUUCUCUGUAACUGGCAUGAUGUAGGAUUCUCAAGGCUCUUUUUUGGAGUAUAAACAGGGGAUAAGUAGUGGUUUUGUAAGUGUGUCCCCAGACCUCUGCGCAGUAUUGCAGGUGUGGAGAGACUAGUGCGCAGUACAACAAGUACAGUGCCUUCUGGUUUAAUAGUUUUUGUGCCCUCCAAAGUAUGGAAGACGACACUUGCUGUAGUCUUGUGUGUCGUCGUCACUCUGAAACAACACUUUCAGAAACAACCAUGGGUCGUUAUGGUGUGGCUGUUCUGGCUCUGCUCGUUCUCCUGAUGCUUUAUAUUGCAGAGAACGAGGCUCUGUCUUGCAGCGGAAUCCGUGGGACAACAUGUAGAUCUGAGUGUCUGUCAUAUGAAUAUGCAGUAAGUGUGGGCUGCGGCGACCAACUGUGUUGCUAUUAUGAAUAAUGGGCCUCAUUCAGACAGAGCUGGAAUCAGAUGGUUCGACAGACAGAAGAUGAUGUCAUUCACUCUACUGACCUCGAAAUAUUCAAAUCAAUUCUUCUGCUGAUUUCAGUUCAGGUGGAAU